ACGGAGGGUGCAAGCGUUAUCCGGAUUUACUGGGUUUAAAGGGUGCGUAGGUGGGCAGGUAAGUCAGUGGUGAAAUCUCCGGGCUUAACCCGGAAACUGCCAUUGAUACUAUCUGUCUUGAAUAUCCUGGAGGUGAGCGGAAUAUGUCAUGUAGCGGUGAAAUGCUUAGAUAUGACAUAGAACACCAAUUGCGAAGGCAGCUCACUACGGGAUUAUUGACACUGAGGCACGAAAGCGUGGGGAUCAAACAGGAUUAGAUACCCUGGUAGUCCACGCCCUAAACGAUGGAUACUCGACAUCAGCGAUACACUGUUGGUGUCUGAGCGAAAGCAUUAAGUAUCCCACCUGGGAAGUACGAUCGCAAGAUUG
RNAcentral lists this ribosomal RNA (369 nucleotides) under uncultured bacterium. RNAcentral describes it as "bacterial SSU rRNA". It matches the Rfam family "Bacterial small subunit ribosomal RNA", at positions 525 to 896 of the family's 1533-position model. The record is from RNAcentral.